Molecule: transfer RNA, 73 nt
Filed under: Streptomyces daliensis
Lineage: Bacteria; Bacillati; Actinomycetota; Actinomycetes; Kitasatosporales; Streptomycetaceae
Rfam family: tRNA
About the family: Transfer RNA (tRNA) molecules are approximately 80 nucleotides in length. Their secondary structure includes four short double-helical elements and three loops (D, anti-codon, and T loops). Further hydrogen bonds mediate the characteristic L-shaped molecular structure. tRNAs have two regions of fundamental functional importance: the anti-codon, which is responsible for specific mRNA codon recognition, and the 3' end, to which the tRNAs corresponding amino acid is attached (by aminoacyl-tRNA synthetases). tRNAs cope with the degeneracy of the genetic code in two manners: having more than one tRNA (with a specific anti-codon) for a particular amino acid; and 'wobble' base-pairing, i.e. permitting non-standard base-pairing at the 3rd anti-codon position.
Source: Rfam by way of RNAcentral
GCCCCGGUAGCCCAACGGUAGAGGCCAUGGCUUCAAAACCCAUACAGUGUCGGUUCGAAUCCGACCCGGGGUA